Molecule: non-coding RNA, 46 nt
Filed under: Schistosoma haematobium
Lineage: Eukaryota; Metazoa; Platyhelminthes; Trematoda; Strigeidida; Schistosomatidae
Source: RNAcentral
ACACUACUGAGGAGUCCCACAAUAGGAUGAAAUGGCCGUCCAGUAC